Molecule: ribosomal RNA, 600 nt
Filed under: Halomonas halmophila
Lineage: Bacteria; Pseudomonadati; Pseudomonadota; Gammaproteobacteria; Oceanospirillales; Halomonadaceae
Description: bacterial SSU rRNA
Rfam family: Bacterial small subunit ribosomal RNA
Source: RNAcentral
GCCCCGUUAGGGUACUCAUGUUUGUCCAGCGGUCACGAUCCCAGCUUGCUGGGAGGCGUCGAGCGGCGGACGGGUGAGUAAUGCAUAGGAAUCUGCCCGGUAGUGGGGGAUAACUUGAGGAAACUCAAGCUAAUACCGCAUACGCCCUACGGGGGAAAGCAGGGGCUCUUCGGACCUUGCGCUAUCGGAUGAGCUUAUGUCGGAUUAGCUAGUUGGUGAGGUAACGGCUUACCAAGGCGACGAUCCGUAGCUGGUCUGAGAGGAUGAUCAGCCACAUCGGGACUGAGACACGGCCCGAACUCCUACGGGAGGCAGCAGUGGGGAAUAUUGGACAAUGGGCGAAAGCCUGAUCCAGCCAUGCCGCGUGUGUGAAGAAGGCCCUCGGGUUGUAAAGCACUUUCAGUGAGGAAGAAGGCUUGUCGGUUAAUACCCGGCAGGAAGGACAUCACUCACAGAAGAAGCCCCGGCUAACUCCGUGCCAGCAGCCGCGGUAAUACGGAGGGGGCAAGCGUUAAUCGGAAUUACUGGGCGUAAAGCGUGCGUAGGCGGCUUGGUAAGCCGGUUGUGAAAGCCCCGGGCUCAACCUGGGAAUGGCAUCCG